CGCGGGAUUCGGGGCGCAGCAGGCGCGAAACCUCCUCAAUGCACUAACGUGCGAAGGGGUUACCUCGAGUGCUACCUGAAGAAGGUGGCUUUUCCUUGGUCUAAAAAGCCUCGGGAAUAAGAGGGGGGCAAGACUGGUGUCAGCCGCCGCGGUAACACCAGCCCCUCGAGUGGUGGGGAUGAUUAUUUGGCCUAAAGCGUCCGUAGCCGGCCGGGUAAGUUUCCCGUUAAAUCCAGCGUCUCAAGCGUUGGACUGCGGGAAAUACUGCCUGGCUAGAGAGUGGGAGAGGUCAGCGGUAUUCUGGGGGUAGGGGCGAAAUCCUUUGAUCCCCGGAGGACCACCAGUGGCGAAGGCUGCCGACUAGAACACGUCUGACGGUCAGGGACGAAAGCUGGGGUAGCGAACCGGAUUAGAUACCCGGGUAGUCCCAGCCGUAAACGAUGCAUGCUAGGUGUUGGGUUGCCCACGAGCCACCCCAGUGCCGCAGGGAAGCCGUUAAGCAUGCCGCCUGGGAAGUACGAUCGCAAGAUUGAAACUUAAAGGAAUUGGCGGGGGAGCACCACCAGGCCGUGAAGCCUGCGGUUUAAUUGGAGUCAACGCCGGGAACCCUUACCGGAAGCGACAGCAGAGUGAAGGCCAGAUUGAAGAUCUUGCCAGACGAGCUGAGAGGAGGUGCAUGGCCGUCGCCAGUUCGUGCCGUGAGGUGUUCUCUUAAGUGAGAUAACGAACGAGACCCGCGCCACAUGUUGCCAUCAGAAUCUAAAGGAUUGCUGGGCACUCUUGUGGGACCGCAGCCGAUAAGGCUGAGGAAGGGGCGGGCAACGGCAGGUCAGUAUGCCCCGAAUCUUCCGGGCCACACGCGGGCUGCAAUGGUAUGGACAGAGGGCUGCCACCCCGAAAGGGGGAGCCAAUCCCUAAACCAUACCUCAGUUGGGAUUGAGGGCUGCAACCCGCCCUCAUGAACAUGGAAUGCCUAGUAACUGCCAGUCAUCAUCUGGCGGUGAAUACGUCCCUGCUCCUUGCACGAAUUCGCCGAAUCACUAGU
Molecule: ribosomal RNA, 1045 nt
Filed under: uncultured crenarchaeote
Lineage: Archaea; Thermoproteati; Thermoproteota
Description: bacterial SSU rRNA
Rfam family: Archaeal small subunit ribosomal RNA
Source: RNAcentral